Molecule: small RNA, 145 nt
Filed under: Pseudomonas sp. 8O
Lineage: Bacteria; Pseudomonadati; Pseudomonadota; Gammaproteobacteria; Pseudomonadales; Pseudomonadaceae
Description: P14
Rfam family: Pseudomonas sRNA P14
Source: RNAcentral
CUGACUAUUUUUUAGCCAGCCCACGCAAAUUCUAUCCUUCAGCGCCCUGCCCAAAGAAAAAAAAUGCAACUCUUGCCCUGGCUCCGUUUACUUACUAAAAGUAAUAGGUAGUAUGUACGCCGGCUAAUUUCCCGCAGUUGGGGAA